This 988-nucleotide ribosomal RNA is filed under the name Vibrio sp. PaD3.31a. RNAcentral describes it as "bacterial SSU rRNA". It matches the Rfam family "Bacterial small subunit ribosomal RNA", at positions 464 to 1451 of the family's 1533-position model. Lineage: Bacteria; Pseudomonadati; Pseudomonadota; Gammaproteobacteria; Vibrionales; Vibrionaceae. The record is from RNAcentral.
AUUAUUUGACGUUAGCGACAGAAGAAGCACCGGCUAACUCCGUGCCAGCAGCCGCGGUAAUACGGAGGGUGCGAGCGUUAAUCGGAAUUACUGGGCGUAAAGCGCAUGCAGGUGGUUUGUUAAGUCAGAUGUGAAAGCCCGGGGCUCAACCUCGGAAUAGCAUUUGAAACUGGCAGACUAGAGUACUGUAGAGGGGGGUAGAAUUUCAGGUGUAGCGGUGAAAUGCGUAGAGAUCUGAAGGAAUACCGGUGGCGAAGGCGGCCCCCUGGACAGAUACUGACACUCAGAUGCGAAAGCGUGGGGAGCAAACAGGAUUAGAUACCCUGGUAGUCCACGCCGUAAACGAUGUCUACUUGGAGGUUGUGGCCUUGAGCCGUGGCUUUCGGAGCUAACGCGUUAAGUAGACCGCCUGGGGAGUACGGUCGCAAGAUUAAAACUCAAAUGAAUUGACGGGGGCCCGCACAAGCGGUGGAGCAUGUGGUUUAAUUCGAUGCAACGCGAAGAACCUUACCUACUCUUGACAUCCAGAGAACUUUCCAGAGAUGGAUUGGUGCCUUCGGGAACUCUGAGACAGGUGCUGCAUGGCUGUCGUCAGCUCGUGUUGUGAAAUGUUGGGUUAAGUCCCGCAACGAGCGCAACCCUUAUCCUUGUUUGCCAGCGAGUAAUGUCGGGAACUCCAGGGAGACUGCCGGUGAUAAACCGGAGGAAGGUGGGGACGACGUCAAGUCAUCAUGGCCCUUACGAGUAGGGCUACACACGUGCUACAAUGGCGCAUACAGAGGGCAGCAAGCUAGCGAUAGUGAGCGAAUCCCAAAAAGUGCGUCGUAGUCCGGAUUGGAGUCUGCAACUCGACUCCAUGAAGUCGGAAUCGCUAGUAAUCGUGGAUCAGAAUGCCACGGUGAAUACGUUCCCGGGCCUUGUACACACCGCCCGUCACACCAUGGGAGUGGGCUGCAAAAGAAGUAGGUAGUUUAACCUUCGGGAGGAC